UACGGAGGGUGCAAGCGUUAUCCGGAUUCACUGGGUUUAAAGGGUGCGUAGGCGGAUAGGUAAGUCAGAGGUGAAAUCUUCGAGCUUAACUCGGAAACUGCCUUUGAUACUAUCUAUCUUGAAUAUUGUGGAGGUAAGCGGAAUAUGUCAUGUAGCGGUGAAAUGCUUAGAUAUGACAUAGAACACCUAUUGCGAAGGCAGCUUACUGCGCAUAUAUUGACGCUGAGGCACGAAAGCGUGGGGAGCAAACAGG
Molecule: ribosomal RNA, 253 nt
Filed under: uncultured bacterium
Lineage: Bacteria
Description: partial 16S ribosomal RNA
Rfam family: Bacterial small subunit ribosomal RNA
Source: RNAcentral